This 580-nucleotide ribosomal RNA is filed under the name Zecicindela giveni. RNAcentral describes it as "partial 16S ribosomal RNA". It matches the Rfam family "Bacterial large subunit ribosomal RNA", at positions 1927 to 2739 of the family's 2925-position model. Lineage: Eukaryota; Metazoa; Arthropoda; Insecta; Coleoptera; Carabidae. The record is from RNAcentral.
AUGGCCGCAGUAUUUUGACUGUGCAAAGGUAGCAUAAUUAUUAGUUUUUUAAUUGAAAGCUUGUAUGAAGGGUUGGACGAGAUAAAAUCUGUCUUUAUUUAAAUUAAAAUAGAAUUUAACUUUUAAGUCAAAAGGCUUAAAUGUUUGUAAAAGACGAGAAGACCCUAUAGAUCUUUAUUAAAUUUAAGUUUUGAUAAUUUAAGAUUACUUUAAUUUAAAGCUUUAAUUUAAUUUUAUUGGGGUAAUAUAAAGAUUAAAUAAAUUCUUUUUACUAAUUACAUUAAUUUAUGUUUAUAUGAUCCAUUAUUAUUGAUUAUAAGAUUAAGUUACCUUAGGGAUAACAGCGUAAUUUUUUUGGAGAGCCCAUAUCGAUAAAAAAGUUUGCGACCUCGAUGUUGGAUUAAAAAUUAGCUUGGGUGUAGAAGCUCAAGAUUUUGGUCUGUUCGACUAUUAAAUUUUUACAUGAUCUGAGUUCAGACCGGCGUAAGCCAGGUCGGUUUCUAUCUUUAUUUAAAUAAAAUAUUUUAGUACGAAAGGACCAAGUAUUUAAUAUAAUUAUAUUUAUUUUUUGAAUAAUAUU